This 28-nucleotide small RNA is filed under the name Bombyx mori (domestic silkworm). RNAcentral describes it as "ovarian small RNA-7391". Lineage: Eukaryota; Metazoa; Arthropoda; Insecta; Lepidoptera; Bombycidae. The record is from RNAcentral.
UCCUCGAUCCUGGAACUGCGCCGGUGCA